Long non-coding RNA from Cucumis sativus (cucumber), 534 nucleotides. RefSeq lists it as uncharacterized. The record is from RefSeq and is a predicted model, not a curated record. The transcript has 2 exons. Lineage: Eukaryota; Viridiplantae; Streptophyta; Magnoliopsida; Cucurbitales; Cucurbitaceae.
UCAAAAUAACUCCUACAAGCUAGGAAUUAAAAGAGAACUGAAUGACUGGUUCUCUAAUAACUAAAUAAUAAAGGAGAAGCUGGAAAAUCCAUGGUGUCACGGAAACAAGGCAAUUUUGAGUCGAGACCAAAUAGAUAAAGAGAUGAUCAAAACCUUAAUUGAUAGGAAAGUCCAGGCUUGGGUCUUUCUUGAGAUGAAAGAAGUAAUGGAGAAUAGGAGAAUACCAGUAACAAGAAGAAGUGUAAAGCAGUGCAAGCUCAGUGGGAAGGAGGCUGCGGCCGCACCGGCGGUGGAGGCAGCGAUGGCGGAAGCGUUACUGAGCUGUGGAGAGAAGGGGCGAGCAGGCGUGAAGAAUAAGUGGCGCGUGGGGCGCGUGAGAGUUAGGGUUUUUCGUUCUUUUUUUGUAGAGAGGGUUUUAACUUUUUCUCUCCUUCGUUGGUCUUUAUUUAUUUUAUUUUAUUAAUAAAUAAAACUGUGGGAAUGGAUUAAACAAAACAUAACUCUCUAAUUUGAUUUCGGAUAUGCUUUCACGAA